Molecule: small RNA, 105 nt
Filed under: Tamilnaduibacter salinus
Lineage: Bacteria; Pseudomonadati; Pseudomonadota; Gammaproteobacteria; Pseudomonadales; Marinobacteraceae
Description: t44 RNA
Rfam family: t44 RNA
About the family: This family consists of a number of bacterial RNA genes of between 135 and 170 bases in length. The t44 gene is found between the map and rpsB genes in all species in the full alignment apart from Shigella flexneri.
Source: RNAcentral
GUCGACCCCUGUCGGCAAAUACGCACACGCGUCGGCACGUUGCUCCAGGGUGCCUGUUUCCGUUUGGUGAUGGGUUGGAGUGAUCGGGCGCGUGGAGGACUAACC